Molecule: ribosomal RNA, 253 nt
Filed under: uncultured bacterium
Lineage: Bacteria
Description: partial 16S ribosomal RNA
Rfam family: Bacterial small subunit ribosomal RNA
Source: RNAcentral
CACGUAGGGCGCAAGCGUUGUCCGGAAUUAUUGGGCGUAAAGAGCUCGUAGGUGGUUUGUUACGUCUGCUGUGAAAUCCUAGGGCUUAACCCUGGGCUUGCAGUGGAUACGGGCAGACUAGAGGUAGGUAGGGGAGAAUGGAAUUCCUGGUGUAGCGGUGAAAUGCGCAGAUAUCAGGAGGAACACCGGUGGCGAAGGCGGCUCUCUGGGACGGUACUGACGCUGAGACGCGAAAGCGUGGGGAGCGAACAGG